GGCUUAUACUAUAGGCCUUAUCAACGCUAGGCCUAAUUGUCACCUUCUGUAGUAAAACACACACACACGAGAGGACCGAGAAAUAGGUCACGUUUUUCACUUGAUAGCUCUAUUCAUGUAGCUUGUCUUACUUUCAAGAAAGUAGACCAAGGAACAGGAGUGCAUAACAGGUAGCUCAAACUAGGUAAUUAUGCAAAUAUAGAUUGGAAUCGGCAUUAGUUACAAGUAUGGAAAAAUCUCAAACUGAAACAACGGAUGUAGAAAGGAGUCUUACUGACAUGACGUUAAAAGUGCCAGAGGGCAGCAGUAGAGACCAGCCAAUUAUACUAGUAAAUGAUGAUAGCAACUUCGUAAAAGACAAGGAGCCACAAGUGUCACCACAGGAAAAAGGUAGAGCAUCAUCUCUUUGGUUCAUUUGAGUGGAAGACCCACGUCUACUCUUGUGGCUGUUGUGAUCAGAAUUCAUUUGACAUACUGUAUAAAGGGUUAUUUUCACCCCAUGUUAUUUUCACCUUUCAACUUGCAAACGGUUUCGACCCGUCUUAAA
Magallana angulata is the source of this 547-nucleotide long non-coding RNA. RefSeq lists it as uncharacterized. The transcript is spliced from 4 exons. The record is from RefSeq and is a predicted model, not a curated record. NCBI's taxonomy places the organism in Eukaryota, Metazoa, Mollusca, Bivalvia, Ostreida, Ostreidae.